AGGAAUCGAACUGUUACCUCCUGGUUCAUAGGUCGAUGUUCAACCACUGAGCCACACCAGCCUGCCUGCUUUUGACUUUUGGUGAUGAUUGCUUUGGCAUGUUCUUGACUUUAUAUAAAUGCAGUAAAGUAAUAUGUAUAUUUUGUUUCUUGAUUCUUUCAUUCAACAUUGUAUUCGAGAUCCAUCCAUGUUAUCUUAUGUAGCUUUGUUUAUUCUCAUCUGCUGUCUAGUAACCCAAUAUAUGAAUGAAUAUACCAUAACUUAUUUAUUUUUAAAAUUGAUUUUAGAGAGGGAGGAAGGGAGAGAGAGAAACAUUGAUGUGAGAGAGAUACAUCGAUUGUUAGACACGACCUUCCAAUGCAUGGGAUACUGCUUUAACCAACUGAGCCACACCAGCCAGGGCUAUCAUAACUUAUUCUUUCUACUGUUUGUGGGUAUCUGGGUUGUUUCUAGUUUUUGCAAAUGCUGCCCUGAAUAUCCUUGCUUGUUUUUUGGGUGCAGAUAUGUAUACAUUCCUAUUAGGUGUGUUCAAAGGAGUGACAAGUAGUGGUGUCAUUUGAUCAGCCUCAGUAGACACUGCCCGAGUGGUGUUGGGACCAGUUUGUACCAUCUGCAGUGUGUGAGCAGUCAGUGGUUCUCUAAUACGUGGUCACAUCAGUUCUUUCAUUCUCGCUGUCUGGUGGGUGUUGAGUGCAUAUAUGUAUGGCAGAUUUUCUUUUACGUUCUUGUGUUUGCCUCUUCACUCUCUCAGUGGUAUCUUUUGAUAAGAAGUUUUCAUUUUAAUGUAGCCCAAUUGAUGCUCUUGGUUCAUUGCACGAUAUCAUGAAGUUCAUGAAGGUGUUUUCCUGUGAAAGCUUUCUUGUUUUAUCUGUCACAUUUAGAUCUAUAAUCCAUCUGAAAUUGAUUUUUGUCAAAGUUGUGAGGUG
This is a long non-coding RNA of Myotis brandtii (Brandt's bat), 926 nucleotides long. RefSeq lists it as uncharacterized. The transcript has 3 exons. NCBI's taxonomy places the organism in Eukaryota, Metazoa, Chordata, Mammalia, Chiroptera, Vespertilionidae. The record is from RefSeq and is a predicted model, not a curated record.